This 465-nucleotide ribosomal RNA is filed under the name uncultured bacterium. Its description in RNAcentral is "partial 16S ribosomal RNA". It matches the Rfam family "Bacterial small subunit ribosomal RNA", at positions 28 to 507 of the family's 1533-position model. The record is from RNAcentral.
GGCGAACGCUGGCGGCGUGCUUAACACAUGCAAGUCGAACGGAAAGGCCCUGCUUGCAGGGUACUCGAGUGGCGAACGGGUGAGUAACACGUGGGUGAUCUGCCCUGCACUUCGGGAUAAGCCUGGGAAACUGGGUCUAAUACCGGAUAGGAGCCAUUUUUAGUGUGAUGGUUGGAAAGUUUUUUCGGUGUAGGAUGAGCUCGCGGCCUAUCAGCUUGUUGGUGGGGUAAUGGCCUACCAAGGCGGCGACGGGUAGCCGGCCUGAGAGGGUGGACGGCCACAUUGGGACUGAGAUACGGCCCAGACGCCUACGGGAGGCAGCAGUGGGGAAUAUUGCACAAUGGGCGCAAGCCUGAUGCAGCGACGCCGCGUGGGGGAUGACGGCCUUCGGGUUGUAAACUCCUUUCGCUAGGGACGAAGCUUUUUGUGACGGUACCUAGAUAAGAAGCACCGGCUAACUACGUG